Molecule: long non-coding RNA, 297 nt
Organism: Parasteatoda tepidariorum (common house spider)
Lineage: Eukaryota; Metazoa; Arthropoda; Arachnida; Araneae; Theridiidae
Gene: barr
Source: RefSeq, a predicted model, not a curated record
UAAAUGUUUUUUGGCAUCGUUGAUAUUGAUGCUAGAAAAAUUCAAAAUAACCUCUUUAUGGCGGCUCUUUUAAUUUAGAUUGUUAUUACAUAGAAUAAAUAUUCAUUUGGAAUUAAGCGUUUUAUUUAAAAGAUAUUGUUAGACCUUAGGACUUUAAUUAGAAAAAUGGUUUCUAAUAGAGCUGAUGGAGAUACUGAUUCUAAUGUCAGUAAAAGUAAAUCUGAUGCUUUAACUGAUAUGAGUGAGGAAGAAAUGGUACAACAUUUAGCGCUCUGUUUAAAGCUAGAUGCUGAAAAU